RNAcentral lists this ribosomal RNA (254 nucleotides) under uncultured bacterium. RNAcentral's name for it is "partial 16S ribosomal RNA". It matches the Rfam family "Bacterial small subunit ribosomal RNA", at positions 524 to 776 of the family's 1533-position model. The record is from RNAcentral.
UACGUAGGGGGCAAGCGUUGUCCGGAUUUAUUGGGCGUAAAGAGCGUGUAGGCGGCCAGACAGGUCAGCUGUGAAAACUCGAGGCUCAACCUCGAGACGUCGGUUGAAACCGUAUGGCUAGAGUCCGGAAGAGGAGAGUGGAAUUCCCGGUGUAGCGGUGAAAUGCGCAGAUAUCGGGAAGAACACCCCGUGGCGAAGGCGGCUCUCUGGGACGGUACUGACGCUGAGACGCGAAAGCGUGGGGAGCGAACAGG